Long non-coding RNA from Brassica napus (rape), 1555 nucleotides. RefSeq lists it as uncharacterized. The transcript has 2 exons. NCBI's taxonomy places the organism in Eukaryota, Viridiplantae, Streptophyta, Magnoliopsida, Brassicales, Brassicaceae. The record is from RefSeq and is a predicted model, not a curated record.
UUUUUCGACGGAGACAUAUGUCGGAAGAACCGGAACUUGGGCACGAUACAAUCGUCACCGUGAACAUUAUGAGUUAGUGUAUUUGGUUGUCAAAAUCAGAGUUAUAUUGAAUGAGAAAUGAAAGUUCAAAAUGAGUGACAUGCAAAACUUAUAAAGUUUUAAAUUUGGCUAAAUAUAAAAUAUUUAGCAAAUUCGAUCACUUUGGAUAUAUGAGUUGGAAUUUGAACUUAAAUUUGUUAAUUGGACAUUACGUCAAUUAACUUAUUUAGUUAUUCUUAUUCAUGAUAAUUUGUAUAUUUAUAUAUCUAUCUAUAUCUAUAAUAAUAAAGUAUACACGUGUCGGCUCUGGACUUAUGUUUCGAUAAUGAAUCUAUAUGGGCCGUCAUUUGGUUGUGAAAGUUCCGUUUGUUUUUAUUGGCUGGGCCUAUCAUUAUAUCUCGGCCUGGGAUUCCGCUAGGGUUUCUUAAUCGCUUUCUCUUUGUUACUCGGAGCCGUAGACAUUCAGAUUCAGAUGGCUAUGGUUUCUGAUUAAAAAAAAAAAAAAAUGAAAUGUUUGCCAUUCUCCUUAACUCCACCAUUAAUCCAAUCUUUAAGCUACGCCCACCUUCCAUCUCAUUUACUGGGUAUCAUUAUCGGCGGAUGUAACGGCUUGGAGCUCGACCUAUAAAUGGCUCUUUUGGGAUCGAUCAAGACCUACAUCGGUUAACGCAUAACCAUCAAAUAUGUCUAAUUCAAACGUUCUUCUCGCCAAUUUAAAAGCCGGCUGUCUGUCAACUCUUAUCCAAGAGAUCAUCCUCAUCUCGGUGAAGGUUCUGUGUAAUUCGCUCAGUGGAUUUGAUGUCACACGGAGCCAAAUUUGAAAGGCACGGCUCAAAGCCAAAUUUGAAACUGAUAAUGUACGCCCUGAAGUGUUAACGUAAGUUGCAAAGAGGAUCCUCAUCAUUCACUUGCGCAGCAGGUAAUACAUUUUUAAUACACUAUCAACCAUUAUUCGCAGUUCAUCUGUUACCAAUCUCAUUUUUUUUCUCUCUCUACCGAGUCCAUCUGGCUGUUUAUGAUGCAUCUGAUACGGCUGUCUUUGUGUCAUUCGACACUGCAAUGGCUCAACUUACGAAUGUUCGAGCUGCAGAAGUAUCCCAACUCACUUGAUUGCUGACUCAUCUAAUAUCACCGCCUAAGCUGUUAAAAGUAAAUUCCUCUCAUGGUCUAAACAAGGGUGCCUUGCCUUCGCUACUUCUGGAAUGAUAAGAGGGAGCUACAGCCUCAAUAGACGUGGUGCAUAAUGAACUUUUACACGGUGUUAUAAAACUACAGAUGGUCACCCACUUCGAGGAUGGGCGCGGCAGAAAAAUGCAUGUAAUGCUUAACUUCCCACCUGGUAGUUGUAUGUUCGUUUAAUAACUUCGAAAGCUUUUGCCUUGACAGUUUUAAUAAUAUUUACCUUUCAUUAUCUGUUAUUGUUGUAAUUAAAGUAACCUUGGUAUCCCAUCGUUUAAAUGGUUCCCCCCAAGAUCACUGUAACAUCAUAAUUAGAACCUAAAAACUUUUAUCUUAA